This 376-nucleotide ribosomal RNA is filed under the name uncultured bacterium. RNAcentral's name for it is "bacterial SSU rRNA". It matches the Rfam family "Bacterial small subunit ribosomal RNA", at positions 524 to 898 of the family's 1533-position model. The record is from RNAcentral.
UACGUAGGUGGCAAGCGUUGUCCGGAUUUACUGGGCGUAAAGGGAGCGUAGGCGGAUACUUAAGUGGGAUGUGAAAUACCUGGGCUUAACUUGGGUGCUGCAUUCCAAACUGGGUGUCUAGAGUGUUGGAGAGGAAAGUGGAAUUCCUAGUGUAGCGGUGAAAUGCGUAGAGAUUAGGAAGAACACCAGUGGCGAAGGCGACUUUCUGGACAAUAACUGACGCUGAGGCUCGAAAGCGUGGGGAGCAAACAGGAUUAGAUACCCUGGUAGUCCACGCCGUAAACGAUGGGUACUAGGUGUAGGAGGUAUCGACUCAUCCUGUGCCGCCGUUAACACAAUAAGUACCCCGCCUGGGGAGUACGGUCGCAAGAUUAAA